Molecule: ribosomal RNA, 1584 nt
Filed under: Triticum aestivum (bread wheat)
Lineage: Eukaryota; Viridiplantae; Streptophyta; Magnoliopsida; Poales; Poaceae
Description: partial small subunit ribosomal RNA
Source: RNAcentral
AUGCCUUUUGGUUUAUGCAAUGCACCUGCUACCUUUCAAAGAUGUAUGACUGCUAUAUUCUCUGAUUUUUGUGAAAAGAUUAUUGAGGUUUUCAUGGAUGAUAUUUCUAUUUACAUAACUUCUUUCGAUGAUUGCUUAAGCAACCUUAAUCAAGUUUGUCAAAGAUGUGAGCAAACUAAUCUUGUUUUGAAUUGGGAUAAGUGCCACUUUAUGGUUAAUGAUGGUAUUGUUUUGGGGCAUAAAAAUUCUAAACGAGGUAUUGAGGUGGAUAAAGCUAAUGUUGAUGCAAUUGAGAAAAUGCCACGUCCUAAAGAUAUUAAAGGUAUAUGUAGUUUCCUUGGUCAUGCGGGUUUCUACAGGAGGUUUAUUAAAGACUUCUCCAAAAUUUCUAGGCCUCUUACAAAUCUUUUACAAAAGUACGUUCCCUUUGUUUUUGAUGAUGAUUGUGUAGAAGCCUUUGAAACACUCAAGAAAGCCUUAACUUCUGCACCUAUAGUACAACCACCUGAUUGGAACCUGCCUUUUGAAAUUAUGUCUGAUGCUAGUGAUUAUGUUGUUGGUGUUGUUCUAGGACAAAGAGUUGAUAAAAAAUUAAAUGUUAUCCAUUAUGCUAGUAAAACUCUAGGCAGUGAUCAACAAAAUUAUGCUACUACCGAAAAAGAAUUUUUAGCAGUUGUGUUUGCUUGUGAUAAAUUCAGAUCUUAUAUUGUUGAUUCUAAAGUAACUGGUCACACCGAUCAUGCUACUAUAAAAUAUCUUAUGGAAAAGAAAGAUGCUAAACCUAGACUCAUUAGGUGGGUUCUCUUGCUACAAGAAUUUUAUUUACAUAUUAGUAAUAGAGAAGGAGCUGAGAACCCCGUAGCCGAUAACUUGGCUAGGUUAGAAAACGUUCUUGAUGACCCACUACCAAUUGAUGAUAGCUUUCCUGAUGAACAACUAGCUGCAAUAAAUGUCUCUCAUAACACUCCUUGGUAUGCUGACUAUGCUAAUUACAUUGUUGCUAAAUAUAUACCACCUAGUUUCACAUACCAACAAAAGAAAAAAUUCUUCUAUGAUUUAAGGCUUUACUUUUGGGAUGACCCACACCUCUAUAAAGAAGGGGUAGAUGGUAUUAUUAGACGUUGUGUGCCUGAGCAUGAACAGGAACAAAUCCUCCGGAAAUGUCACUCUGAAACUUAUGGAGGACAUCAUGCGGGAGAUAGAACUGCUCAUAAGGUUUACGGAGAUGUGGAACAUUAUGGUUGGACUACGGAGGAGGAAGAAGACUAUAAUCCUAAAGGGAAGGAAGAGACAAGCUCAGAUGAAGAUGAAGUUCCACUGCCCCAGCCGGGGGACAUGCAUGUGGAAUUCAAGAAGUCAAGUCUCCCCAAUAAAGCAAAGAAACCCAAGAUCCAGUUUAUCCCUUUCCAUCUUCUGCAGGAAAACAAGCAAGAAUUAUGCAAAAUGAUAUUGAUGUUGGAGCAGGAGAUUGAUGACUUGAGGGAGGAAAAUUCCAUCCUCAAGCGUAAGCUGAGGAGGAAGUGUGAAGCUACUACCUCAUCACCACCAUCACCAUCACCUUCUUCACCACCAAAGGAGACUUGA